Molecule: ribosomal RNA, 502 nt
Filed under: uncultured Glomeromycotina
Lineage: Eukaryota; Fungi; Glomeromycota
Description: partial small subunit ribosomal RNA
Rfam family: Eukaryotic small subunit ribosomal RNA
Source: RNAcentral
CCAAUAGCGUAUAUUAAAGUUGUUGCAGUUAAAAAGCUCGUAGUUGAACUUCGGGAUUUAUUCAUUGGUCAGGCUUAAUUGUCUGUACUGGUGAGAUAAAUCUCUACCUUCUGAGGAACUUUCAUGCCAUUUAUUUGGUGUGAUUGGAAAUCAGGACUAUUACUUUGAACAAAUUAGAGUGUUUAAAGCAGGCUAACGUCUGAAUACAUUAGCAUGGAAUAAUGAAAUAGGACGGACUGGUUCUAUUUUGUUGGUUUCUAGGAUCACCGUAAUGAUUAAUAGGGAUAGUUGGGGGCAUUAGUAUUCGAUUGUCAGAGGUGAAAUUCUUGGAUUUAUUGAAGACUAACUACUGCGAAAGCAUUUGCCAAGGAUGUUUUCAUUAAUCAAGAACGAAAGUUAGGGGAUCGAAGACGAUCAGAUACCGUCGUAGUCUUAACCAUAAACUAUGCCGACUAGGGAUCGGACGAAGUUAAUUUUAUAAUGACGCGUUCGGCACCUUACG